CGUCAAGAGUCUCAGCGACAAGCCCCGGCUGGCUGAGCGGCAACCCUCCACCGCGGUGGGGUGCCCCGGGUGAGGACAGGGUCGGGCCUGCAGGUGGUCCGACAAGCGCGGGGC
RNAcentral lists this non-coding RNA (114 nucleotides) under Luteipulveratus halotolerans. RNAcentral describes it as "SAM (S-adenosyl methionine) riboswitch aptamer". It matches the Rfam family "SAM (S-adenosyl methionine) riboswitch aptamer". From Rfam's summary of the family: SAM-IV is a mRNA element that regulates gene expression via direct sensing of S-adenosylmethionine (SAM or AdoMet). SAM-IV riboswitches share conserved nucleotide positions with the previously described SAM-I riboswitches sequence analysis and molecular recognition experiments suggest that SAM-I and SAM-IV riboswitches share similar ligand binding sites, but have different scaffolds. Lineage: Bacteria; Bacillati; Actinomycetota; Actinomycetes; Micrococcales; Dermacoccaceae. The record is from Rfam by way of RNAcentral. RNAcentral also lists the same sequence under 1 other name.